CUUGUACUGACUCUCUAAUUUAGGCUCCUUCUGACCAAGGAGAGAAAACUGGAAGAAAACUAAACAGUGGUUUUGUUUAAAGAUGGGGGGAGGGGGGGGAACUGUUACCACCACCAACAAAAAAGAACUGUGGGUCAGCAUAACAUCAUGUAAACUGUAUUUCAUUUGUGCUUUCAUCAGAAAUGAAAGUCCUUAUUCUCCAUGCCAAAUAUCUACCCACUCCAUAUUCACAGUCGUCUUGUAAACUGCAUUUCCUUCAAGGCUAUCAAAAAUAAUCUGCCAGUGAAGAAAUACAUCAACUCUGCCUUGUCAUCUGAUGAUCUUGUGAUAAUCAGAUCUGUUAAUGCUACCUG
This 353-nucleotide long non-coding RNA is filed under the name Gallus gallus (chicken). RNAcentral's name for it is "lncRNA (ENSGALG00010023951.1)". Lineage: Eukaryota; Metazoa; Chordata; Aves; Galliformes; Phasianidae. The record is from RNAcentral.